AUGACGCGGUUAGCCAAUAUAAAUUUAAUUCCAAAAAUCUCUACUGUCAAAGGCUCCAAGUGCCAAGUAUGUGUGCAAGCUAAGCAACCUCGCAAGUCCCAUAAGACUGUAGAGGCAAGAGACUUGGCGCCACUUGAGCUUAUACAUUCUGAUCUUUGUGAGAUGAAUGGCGUGUUGACAAAAGGUGGAAAGAGAUACUUCAUGACGUUGAUUGAUGACUCCACUAGAUAUUGUUAUGUGUAUCUUCUGAAAUCAAAAGAUGAGGCUUUGACUUUCUUUAAAAACUAUAAAGCUGAGGCAGAGAACCAACUUGAUCGAAAAAUUAAAUGGCUUAGGUCCGAUCGUGGUGGAGAGUAUUUUUCCAAUGAAUUUGAUCUGUUUUGUGCGGAACAUGGUACAAUCCAUGAGAGGACGCCUCCCUAA
This 423-nucleotide ribosomal RNA is filed under the name Triticum aestivum (bread wheat). Its description in RNAcentral is "partial small subunit ribosomal RNA". Lineage: Eukaryota; Viridiplantae; Streptophyta; Magnoliopsida; Poales; Poaceae. The record is from RNAcentral.